RNAcentral lists this ribosomal RNA (301 nucleotides) under uncultured bacterium. RNAcentral's name for it is "partial 16S ribosomal RNA". It matches the Rfam family "Bacterial small subunit ribosomal RNA", at positions 509 to 809 of the family's 1533-position model. The record is from RNAcentral.
CAGUCGCCACGGUAAUACGUAGGUGGCAAGCGUUGUCCGGAAUUAUUGGGCGUAAAGCGCGCGCAGGCGGAUAGGUCAGUCUGUCUUAAAAGUUCGGGGCUUAACCCCGUGAUGGGAUGGGAACUGCCAAUCUAGAGUAUCGGAGAGGAAAGUGGAAUUCCUAGUGUAGCGGUGAAAUGCGUAGAUAUUAGGAAGAACACCAGUGGCGAAGGCGACUUUCUGGACGAAAACUGACGCUGAGGCGCGAAAGCCAGGGGAGCAAACAGGAUUAGAUACCCCGGUAGUCCCUGUCUCUUAUACA